Molecule: long non-coding RNA, 316 nt
Organism: Galendromus occidentalis (western predatory mite)
Lineage: Eukaryota; Metazoa; Arthropoda; Arachnida; Mesostigmata; Phytoseiidae
Product: glycine-rich protein 3
Exons: 2
Source: RefSeq, a predicted model, not a curated record
UUCUGACGAAAGUUGGAUUAACAAGAAGAUCAUGAGGAUCCUCAUCGCUUUGGCAAUCGUGGUAGCUUCGCUCGCUGUCAGCGUCGCCGGUUACUGGGGCGGAUCUCUCGGCUAUGGAGGCUGGGGCGGAUACGGGCACACUGUCUCCUCUUAUCCUGUCGCUGUCAGCUACGGUCACGGAUACGGACACGGCUACGGCUCCGGAUACGGUCUCGGCUACGGCAACACAGGCUACUACGGAGGAUACUGGAAGAAAUAAAUCCGCAUCUGGACGAUCGAUCCGCUGGGAAUAAAAUCUCGGAAACCGCAUUCUGAA